GAAUAUUGGACAAUGGGGGGAACCCUGAUCCAGCCAUGCCGCGUGUGUGAAGAAGGCCUUUUGGUUGUAAAGCACUUUAAGCGAGGAGGAGGCUACCCUAGUUAAUACCUAGGGAUAGUGGACGUUACUCGCUGAAUAAGGCCCCGCUAACUCUUUGCCAGUCGCCGCGGUAAUACAGAGGGUGCAAGCGUUAAUGGGAUUUACUGGGCGUAAAGCGCGCGUAGGUGGCCAAUUAAGUCAAAUGUGAAAUCCCCGAGCUUAACUUGGGAAUUGCAUUCGAUACUGGUUGGCUAGAGUAUGGGAGAGGAUGGUAGAAUUCCAGGUGUAGCGGUGAAAUGCGUAGAGAUCUGGAGGAAUACCGAUGGCGAAGGCAGCCAUCUGGCCUAAUACUGACACUGAGGUGCGAAAGCAUGGGGAGCAAACA
Molecule: ribosomal RNA, 424 nt
Filed under: uncultured bacterium
Lineage: Bacteria
Description: bacterial SSU rRNA
Rfam family: Bacterial small subunit ribosomal RNA
Source: RNAcentral